This 86-nucleotide transfer RNA is filed under the name Micromonospora sicca. Its description in RNAcentral is "Micromonospora sp. 4G51 tRNA-Arg". The record is from RNAcentral. Lineage: Bacteria; Bacillati; Actinomycetota; Actinomycetes; Micromonosporales; Micromonosporaceae.
GUGCCCGGUCACCCUGCUACCAGCGGAUACGGAGCAUCGGACUACGGAUCAGAAGGUUAGGGGUUCGAGUCCCUUCGGGCGCACAA